RNAcentral lists this ribosomal RNA (279 nucleotides) under uncultured Victivallaceae bacterium. RNAcentral's name for it is "partial 16S ribosomal RNA". It matches the Rfam family "Bacterial small subunit ribosomal RNA", at positions 1106 to 1382 of the family's 1533-position model. The record is from RNAcentral. Lineage: Bacteria; Pseudomonadati; Lentisphaerota; Lentisphaeria; Victivallales; Victivallaceae.
UACUGCCUGUUACCAGCGCGUAAUGGCGGGGACUCUGGCAGGACUGCCCGUGUUAAGCGGGGAGGAAGGUGCGGAUGACGUCAAGUCAGUAUGGCCCUUACAUCCAGGGCUGCACACGUGCUACAAUGGGUGGUACAGUGGGACGCAGGACCGCGAGGUGGAGACUAAUCCCCAAAACCACCCCCAGUUCAGAUCGGAGUCUGCAACUCGACUCCGUGAAGCCGGAAUCGCUAGUAAAGGCGUAUCAGCUACGACGCCUUGAAUACGUUCCCGGGCCUU